Molecule: long non-coding RNA, 572 nt
Organism: Aricia agestis (brown argus)
Lineage: Eukaryota; Metazoa; Arthropoda; Insecta; Lepidoptera; Lycaenidae
Exons: 3
Source: RefSeq, a predicted model, not a curated record
AAGCACCAUAACACUUUUGGUUUUUUAGGAAAUCACUUAAUUGGCGGCGGGAGGUAUCACUUUCUUCAAUAAUUUCAGUUGCCAACACUAGUCUAUGAAAGGUGAAUCUUGAACAGUUGAAAAAAAUGUGAUUCAUGUCGGCGUUCUCUUCGUUACAAAAAGUGCAAUUAUUGCUGCUUAUUAUGUUCAAUCUCGCAAGGUGUGCAGGUGCAGUGUUAUGACCAAAUCUGAGUCUGUUUAUUGUUGUGAUAAAGUCACGGUUCGCUAUCUUCAGCUCAUUGUACCAUGGAUUUGUCGGAAAAUCCGGCACAAAGUUGGGGACAGCCCAGUCAGAAGAUCAUGAGGUGAAGCUAAUGGACCAUCUGUGAUGAUUGGGUGAGAUCGUGGAUGAGAGAAAUGAAGCUGUCUGAACAACUUCGUCCUCUACGGAACCCAUACUGAAUUUGAGGAAUGAUGUUAUGAGAUUCUGCGUACCAAUCCAGGCGGUUCUUUAGCAUAUUUUCAAAUAUCUUACCAAUACAUGACGAUAAAGAUAUUGGCCGAUAAGAACUGGCCUCCUCUGGUGGUUUAUC